This is a non-coding RNA of Pelobates cultripes (western spadefoot toad), 426 nucleotides long. The record is from the annotation of a GenBank genome assembly. Lineage: Eukaryota; Metazoa; Chordata; Amphibia; Anura; Pelobatidae.
GAUACUUUCUCUUGUCUUAACCGUCUCAGAAGUGGAAAGAUGAGUGGAGUAGGAGGGAAUGCGUAACCUAGGUUGAAUUGCCAAUCGCUCGAUAGGGCAUCUCUUCCUAUAGCCAGAGGAUCGAUAUUUUUUGAGAAGAAGUCUCUUACUUUCCUGUUCUUGUUUGUUGCCAUCAGGUCUAUUUGUGGCAUGCCCCAUAUUUGUGUUAUCUUCUCGAAUAUCUUGUCUGACAAGCUCCAUUCUCCUGGGUCUAUUUCCACUCUGCUCAGGAAAUCUGCUAUGGAAUUCUGGUUCCCAGGAAGAUGUACAGCUGAUAUACCCGCUAGAUGUGUUUGUGUGAAGGCCAUCAGGGGUUUCAUUAUUGACAUCAUCUUUUGACUCCUGGUUCCUCCCUGAUGAUUUAUGUAGGCUACUACGGUGGCGUUG